This 117-nucleotide small nuclear RNA is filed under the name Sinocyclocheilus anshuiensis. RNAcentral's name for it is "U5 spliceosomal RNA (ENSSANG00000000633.1)". It matches the Rfam family "U5 spliceosomal RNA". From Rfam's summary of the family: U5 RNA is a component of both types of known spliceosome. The precise function of this molecule is unknown, though it is known that the 5' loop is required for splice site selection and p220 binding, and that both the 3' stem-loop and the Sm site are important for Sm protein binding and cap methylation. The record is from RNAcentral. Lineage: Eukaryota; Metazoa; Chordata; Actinopteri; Cypriniformes; Cyprinidae.
CAGCUCAAGUUUCUCUUCAUUAUCGCAUAAAUCUUUUGCCUUUUACUAAAGAUUUCCGUGGAGGGGAACUUCUUGCGAGUGCCCUGUGUAUUUGGAGGCUCUGAUCACAGCAGAGCU